Molecule: unclassified non-coding RNA, 386 nt
Filed under: Hevea brasiliensis (rubber tree)
Lineage: Eukaryota; Viridiplantae; Streptophyta; Magnoliopsida; Malpighiales; Euphorbiaceae
Source: RNAcentral
AUCGAGGAACCAUGAGAUGCCGUUGAAUGGUACUAUUAUAGUAGACCUUGUUGCCGACGUUUUCUCCGAGAUUUUCAGGUAUCGUCCACGUGGAUUCUCCUUCAGGUCGAAAUAGAAAAGCUUGUGUUCUACCUGUAACGUCUUGCACAAUAACUCUACGUCGUUUCCACCACCACCGCCACCACUCGAAUUUCCCUCCAUCAAUAUCACUCACACUUCAACUUAAAAAUUGAACAAAAGAAAAUAAUCAGUGAGAAAUGAAUGAUAUAGCUGGCAUUAUGGAAAAGAAUUGGGGAUUCGAUUGCAAAUGUGUGAAUUAGGGUUCUAUGAAGAAGAGGAAUUUCAGUUGGAAAUAAUCGUUGACCAGUUCCGCUUGCUAAUCGAAA